UGGGGAAUAUUGCACAAUGGGGGAAACCCUGAUGCAGCAACGCCGCGUGAAGGAAGAAGUAUUUCGGUAUGUAAACUUCUAUCGACAGGGAAGAAACAAAUGACGGUACCUGAAUAAGAAGCACCGGCUAAAUACGUGCCAGCAGCCGCGGUAAUACGUAUGGUGCAAGCGUUAUCCGGAUUUACUGGGUGUAAAGGGUGAGUAGGCGGUCAUGCAAGUCAUAUGUGAAAUGUCAGGGCUUAACCUUGGCGCUGCAUAAGAAACUGUAUGACUAGAGUGCAGGAGAGGUAAGCGGAAUUCCUAGUGUAGCGGUGAAAUGCGUAGAUAUUAGGAAGAACACCGGUGGCGAAGGCGGCUUACUGGACUGUUACUGACGCUGAGUCACGAAAGCGUGGGGAGCAAACA
RNAcentral lists this ribosomal RNA (405 nucleotides) under uncultured bacterium. RNAcentral describes it as "bacterial SSU rRNA". It matches the Rfam family "Bacterial small subunit ribosomal RNA", at positions 355 to 774 of the family's 1533-position model. The record is from RNAcentral.